This is a long non-coding RNA of Momordica charantia (bitter melon), 510 nucleotides long. RefSeq lists it as uncharacterized. NCBI's taxonomy places the organism in Eukaryota, Viridiplantae, Streptophyta, Magnoliopsida, Cucurbitales, Cucurbitaceae. The record is from RefSeq and is a predicted model, not a curated record.
CAAAACGUACCGCUUUGAUCGGCUCCGUUCACCGCACGUCGGAAAUCAAUGUCGUUUCGGUCCUUACAGUGGAAGGAAGGCCGAGUUCUAGGGCUUUCUCCCAUCAGCUUCCUCAUACUCUCUGUAUGUUCAAGUAUGGCUUGCAUUUGGCUGCAUAGGACAAUGGUGAAUGAUUAUGGCUGUAAAAGAAGAACUCACAGUUGAAAUUCGUGACAUAUGAAGUUGAGAAAGCUGUAAUCACAGAUCAUCUCAUCGACAACAUUGCGGCCCCCCAUUCACAAGCCAAACGAGAUUCUCAUUGUUGCCAGGUGGAAUCUUGUUAACAAACACAAUUAUUUUCACUUUGCCUGUCAAUAUGCCACUGAUCAAUAGCUUGAAAUUAUAUUUCCAUGGCCAAUCAUUGAUAUCCUCCUUGCCACUUCUUUAUGCCUCCUAAAAUAUAAGCAAUAUCCUAUUGGAUUCAUGACGAUGUUUCUUCAGUAAACUGAUGUCAUUUUCUUGUUUUUGAAA